This 326-nucleotide ribosomal RNA is filed under the name uncultured bacterium. RNAcentral's name for it is "bacterial SSU rRNA". It matches the Rfam family "Bacterial small subunit ribosomal RNA", at positions 28 to 334 of the family's 1533-position model. The record is from RNAcentral.
GAUGAACGCUGGCGGCGUGCUUAACACAUGCAAGUCGAACGGGAGAUGCACAGGGAUGAGAUUUCGGUCAAAUCCGGUGUAUCUUUAGUGGCGGACGGGUGAGUAACGCGUGGGUAACCUGCCAUAUACUGGGGGAUAACACUUAGAAAUAGGUGCUAAUACCGCAUAAGCGCACGGAGGCGCAUGCCUUAGUGUGAAAAACUCCGGUGGUAUAUGAUGGACCCGCGUCUGAUUAGCUUGUUGGCGGGGUAACGGCCCACCAAGGCGACGAUCAGUAGCCGGCCUGAGAGGGUGGACGGCCACAUUGGGACUGAGACACGGCCCAA